AGCUUACCGGCGGCGGUGCUCUCGGGUGCGGCGGCUCUCCGGUGAAGUUCGUGUUUUGGUGAUUCGGCUCUGACCAACCUGUAGAGAAAAGAAUGGUGAUCACGGUGAUAUAAAAAUUGCAUUAAACGGAGACCGGGAAGGGCCUCAUCGAAGGCAAAAAUCGAGGAGGGGCGCGGCGGCGCCGCUGGCUUUCGAUCGUGUUUUCCGGCCGUUUGGCCGGGAUUUUGGCUCCGAUUUGGCCACUGGAGAAAUCAGCGUGGAAAAACGAGUCGGGAGUAUGAAAUUUACCUCGAUCGGCGGUCGGAAAUCCCUCCGGUGCGGCAGCGGGCGGCGACGGCCGGCUUCUGGUUCGUCUUCUCCGGCGAGGGCGGGCGGCUAGGGUUUGGGGUCUGGUGUGGGGGUCUUAUUUAUACCCU
RNAcentral lists this long non-coding RNA (416 nucleotides) under Carica papaya (papaya). RNAcentral's name for it is "long non-coding RNA (CPAP_LNC013393)". Lineage: Eukaryota; Viridiplantae; Streptophyta; Magnoliopsida; Brassicales; Caricaceae. The record is from RNAcentral.